UGUAUACAAUGUGAUAGUUGUUAGAGAGGACUAAAGAGAGAUGCAAGGAAAAUAUGUUAUUGGAGGAGAUAGAGAGCUUUACUUGUGGUUUACUAAAUUGGAUUUAUGCUUUGAAAUCGAGAUGAACUAGAGGGCAAGUCAAGGACUAAACCAACUGAGGCUGAAUUAGAUGAGAGUGAUAGAGUUUUAUUUAUUAAUUGUAAAGUUGUAA
This is a non-coding RNA of Prunus avium (sweet cherry), 211 nucleotides long. The record is from RefSeq and is a predicted model, not a curated record. NCBI's taxonomy places the organism in Eukaryota, Viridiplantae, Streptophyta, Magnoliopsida, Rosales, Rosaceae.